GACAGAGGAUGCAAGCGUUAUCCGGAAUUACUGGGCGUAAAGAGUUGCGUAGGCGGCAUAGUAAGCAGGUAGUGAAAUGACGGGGCUCAACCUCGUGUCCAUUAUCUGAACUGCUAAGCUAGAGUAUGAUAGAGGUAGAUGGAAUUUCUAGUGUAGGAGUGAAAUCCGUAGAUAUUAGAAGGAACACCGAUGGCGUAGGCAGUCUACUGGAUCAUUACUGACGCUCAGGCACGAAAGCGUGGGGAGCGACCGGG
This 254-nucleotide ribosomal RNA is filed under the name uncultured bacterium. RNAcentral's name for it is "partial 16S ribosomal RNA". It matches the Rfam family "Bacterial small subunit ribosomal RNA", at positions 524 to 776 of the family's 1533-position model. The record is from RNAcentral.